This 205-nucleotide ribosomal RNA is filed under the name uncultured bacterium. Its description in RNAcentral is "partial 16S ribosomal RNA". It matches the Rfam family "Bacterial small subunit ribosomal RNA", at positions 1297 to 1500 of the family's 1533-position model. The record is from RNAcentral.
AUUGCAGUCUGCAACUCGACUGCAUGAAGCCGGAAUCGCUAGUAAUCGCGGAUCAGAAUGCCGCGGUGAAUACGUUCCCGGGUCUUGUACACACCGCCCGUCACACCAUGGGAGUCGGAAAUGCCCGAAGCCGGUGGCCUAACCGAUAAGGGAGGAGCCGUCGAAGGCAGGUCUGAUGACUGGGGUGAAGUCGUAACAAGGUAAC